Long non-coding RNA from Chlorocebus sabaeus (green monkey), 1115 nucleotides. RefSeq lists it as uncharacterized. The record is from RefSeq and is a predicted model, not a curated record. NCBI's taxonomy places the organism in Eukaryota, Metazoa, Chordata, Mammalia, Primates, Cercopithecidae.
GAUGCCAUUUGUAUUCAUUUAUCUCUUGAGUCCAAAAUAUACAACUAAAAAUAUAGAUUAGGUUUAGAGUGCAAUCUUUGACUGUGAAACAACUUUCUCUGUACUGAAUCAAUUAGCCAAUACAAAACUGAAUUCCUAACUUUGGCCUUACUAAUGUUUUACCCUAAGUAUGUCAGAAUCCCAACAGAAACAGAUGGCACACAUAAACUAGGAUAAUCUGAAGAUGGGUUUAUUUGCAAAGGUGGAGGAGGAUAUAAAGGAACCACAAGGGAUGGCACAAGUUCCACUGACUAGCAGCACUGUAGCUGUCACUACAUCUAGACCCAGAAGGUCAAGAAGAGAGGUUACUGGAACCCCAAAAAGAGACAGGAUCAUGUAGAUUAGGCCAAUUUGAGAGAAGUAGUGAUCUAUUGAGGGACAUGAACAGCCUGAAGUUAUCUCAGAGAGAAGAAACAGGGGAAUAAAUACCCUGAUUCACUCUCUCCUUCCUCCCAUCUCCUGCCUAGGCUCUCCACUGGCCCAGCUCAACAGGAAGUCAGAAGAUAUGGAAGCCCAUUGAUGCAACCCAUAUACAUAAGCCUUCAAAAGGAACUGAAGAGAAAUUUUAGUCAAGAAGAGCUACAGAAUUCAAAUUAGCUGAAGCUCAGGUUGAAGAAGCAAAAGGGGACUGAGAACUGAAACCACCUGCAUCAAUAUAACAGAGAUAUUUGGAGUAAGAACUGAGAAUACCUGUGUCAACACAGCUUAGUUUUUUGUUCCAGGAAAUCUUUGCCCAGUAAAUAUAAGACUAUAAAAACCAAUAAAUUAUAUCACUGUUUGUUUCAGGCAACUGCUGCAAAACAACUUAUCUGAGACAAUGGUUUAUUUGGGUAAACAUCUGGUUUAUCAAACAACUAUUCUCAAGAGUAGCUUCAAGAGCCUCAAUGUUGCUACAUUCACAAUCCUAAAUACUACAUUACAAAAUUUGCCCAAUUUCCAUCAACAUCCUGCCUUAAAAGAACUGCCUAAAUCUACUUGCACCUAGACCCUAUAACCCUCUACGUAGUCCAAUACUGAUUUGCACCUUUUGAAAUACUAAGACUCUGUAGUGUUUUCACUUCUUGCAAUGAGUUUCA